RNA transcript from Siniperca chuatsi (mandarin fish), 6093 nucleotides. It is a transcript of the gene named Janus kinase and microtubule interacting protein 3, with no coding region annotated. Lineage: Eukaryota; Metazoa; Chordata; Actinopteri; Centrarchiformes; Sinipercidae. The record is from RefSeq and is a predicted model, not a curated record. The transcript has 24 exons.
GAGGAGGAUGACGCCAGCAGAGGCUGCAGAGAUGCUAACAGCAUCGAUACAUAAACACACACUGACAGAUCUAACUGCUAGCUGCUAAUAGAGGCAGACAGAGAGAGAGAGACAGAGGCAGACAGAGAGAGAGAGACAGUCAGACAGAGAGAGAGAGAGAGAGACAGACAGACAGACAGAGAGAGAGAGAGAGAGAGAGAGAGGGAGACAGGUGGAGGGAGGCUGAUGCUGGCAGCACACACACACACACAGACACACACUGAGCUGCAGUGAAGCUAGCUUAUUAGCAUGCUCAGGAUAAGAGGCUAACCUACUAACACACACACACACACACAGCAAUGCAGUGUCCCGGGCUUCCUAUUGGACGGUCUAGAUGUAGUCAAACUUCAGAUUGACAGACAGCCUAUUGUAGGUGCGGAGCCUGCAGGUGGUGGUGAUGUCAAAGCGAGGAGCAGGGGGGCGGGGGAAGGGGGAGCGACCUGACGCCAUGGCAACUCUUCAAGCAGCCAAUGAGGAGCUGAGAGCCAAACUGACGGACAUCCAGAUAGAACUACAACAGGAAAAGAACAAAGUCAGUCGUCUGGAGAGAGAGAAGAGUCAGGAACUGAAGGCGGAGCAUCACCGGGCAACGGUCGCGGUGACGGAGCUGAAGACCAAACUCCAUGAGGAGAGGCAGAAGGAGCUGGCUGUUACAAGGGAGACGUUACUACGGCAACACGAGAUGGAGCUAAUGAGAGUCAUCAAGAUCAAAGACGGAGAGAUUCAGCGUCUGAACGGACUGGUGCUAACACUGAGGGACGGAUCCACGGACAAGGUGAGGAGUGCACUGCUGGCAGAGGUGGAGGAGGCGAGGAGAAACUGGGAGGCGGAGCGGUGUCGCCUCCAGCAGGAGGUUCAUGAGCUGCGAGGAGCAAAGAGGAACACUGAGGAGGCUCUGACAUCUGCUCAGCAGGCCUGCCAGGCCCGAGCAGCUGAACUGCGAUCAGCUCAUCACCAACACCAGGAGGAGCUGAACAGGACCAAGAGAGACUGUGAGAGGGAGAUCCGCCGUCUGAUGGAUGAGAUAAAGCUGAAGGACAGAGCUGUCAGUGUAUUGGAUAAAGCCCUGGGGCUGCAGGCUGGACACGCCCACCGCCUCCAGCUGCAGACUCAGGCUGCCGAGCAGCAAAUUGCAGCCCUGAGAGACGCACAGAGGGCAGGGCUAAACCACCCUGGCCAAGCCCUUAACCCCACCCCUAACACUCCUCCUCACAUUUCUCAGGAGGACCGGGACACUCGGAGGUUUCAGUUAAAAAUUGCUGAGCUCAGCGCCGUCGUCAGGAAGCUGGAGGAUCGAAAUGCUCUUCUGUCUGAAGAACGCAACGAACUGCUGAAGCGUCUGAGAGAGACGGAGAGCCAGUUUCUUCCCCUUCUGGACAAAAACAAACGUCUGAGCAGGAAAAAUGAGGAGCUGGCUCUCACGCUGCGUCGCCUCGACAACAAGCUUCGCUUCAUCACCCAGGAAAACCUGGAGAUGGUAACUAUGAGGAGACCGAGUUCUUUAAAUGACCUGGACCGCAGCCACUCCACCAGUUACCAUGGUUACAGCCAGGAUGAGAGAGAGAUGGAGUUUCUACGGUUACAAGUUCUGGAGCAACAACACAUCAUCGACGACCUGUCCAAGGCUCUGGAGACAGCUGGUUAUGUCAAGAAUGUUAUAGAGAGAGACAUGUUACUGAGAUACAGACGACAGGAAUCAGUGAGGAGGAAACGAACCUUCAGAGCCUGCAGGGUCGUAGAGACGUUUUAUGGUUAUGAUGAAGAAGCAUCAGUGGACUCUGAUGGAUCGUCUUUGUCGUUUCACACUGACAGAACUCCAGAUACUGAACCCGAGGAGGUGUGUGUGCGUGAGGAAGCAGAACUUCGUUACCGUCAGCUGACUCAGGAGUAUCAGGCGCUGCAGCGAGCAUACGCUCUGCUGACGGAGACGAGCGGAGGAAACUACGAUGCUGAGAAGGAGAUCAAGACCAGAGAGCAGCUGCUGACUGAAAUCAGUCGAUAUGAAACCAGAGUUGUAGAUCUGGAGUCAGCACUGAAACAACAAGGACUGGAUGUGAAGUGGGUGGAGGAGAAACAGGCGUUGUAUCAGAGGAAUCAGGAGUUGGUGGAGAAGGUGAAGCAGAUGGAAGGUGAAGAUCUCCGGCUGAAAAAUGACAUCCAGGACGUCAAAGAUCAGAAUGAGCUGCUGGAGUUUCGGAUCUUAGAGCUCGAGGAGAGGGAGCGACGCUCACCUGCCAUUAACUUCCAGCAACUCCAUUUCCCAGAAGAACUCAGUCCUCUGCAGAUAUACUGCGAGGCAGAGGGAGUCACUGAGAUUGUGAUCAGUGAGUUGAUGAAGAAGCUGGACAUUCUGGGAGAUAACGCCGUAAGUAAUCUGUCCAAUGAGGAGCAGGUGGUGGUGAUCCAUGCCAGGACGGUGCUCACUCUGGCAGAGAAGUGGUUGGAGUCCAUCGAAGUGACGAAGUCGGCUCUGCAGCAGAAGAUGUUGGACAUCGAGAGCGAGAAGGAUCUUUUCCGUAAACAGAAAGGUUACCUGGACGAAGAGCUGGACUACAGGAAGCAGUCGAUGGAUCAGGCUCAUAAGAGGAUCCUGGAACUGGAGGCCAUGUUGUUUGAGGCUCUGCAACAGGAGGAGGAGUCCAGGAUGGAGGGAUUAAAAAUGGAGGAAGGUCGUCUGUCUGAAACACUGACAGAGGAUGAGAGGGAGGGGCUUAAGAGAGCAAUGGACCAAUGGAAACGAAGUGUGAUGUUUGAGCUGAGAGAGAGAGACACCCAGAUCCUCAGGGAGAGGAUGGAACUACUGCAACUCACACAACAGAGGAACAAGGAGCUGGAGGAAUGUAUAGAAGCACAGAAACGACAGAUUAAAGAGCUGGAGGAGAAGUUUCUAUUUCUCUUUCUAUUCUUCUCUUUGGCCUUCAUCCUCUGGUCCUAACAGCAGCUGGUGAGUCCCACAGCAACAUGGCUUACUGCAGGGCAAAAUGGGUUGUUUUGUGUCUACAGGCCUCCAGAGUCCAACAGCUGAACACUCAGCAGGGUCGGCUCAGUCUGGAUCAGACCAAACGACAGAAGGAUUCAGAGUUUGGAACCAGCAGCUUACUGACUGAGGGACUGCCCCACUGACCUGCCUGUGGCUGUUGUCAGCCAAUCAGAGCAGAGCUCAGCUGUCAGCUGACUCUGGAGCUACACCAUCACACCUCAUGGAAGAAGACAAGGAUGGUCUCCACGGCAACAGAUGAACGUUGUGUCUCGGACAAGUGAAAACCACAACCGGCAACAUCUUAACUAGCUUCCUGUUAGCUACUUUUAGCUACACCUGAUAUGCAGCUGACAAACACACAUUCUAGCCUCAGGAGGCCUGCUGGACCAAAGUGGUGCUGGACUUCAUACAGUUUUAGCUCAGCUAGCUGAUUUUAAACAUUGCUAGCUAAGUUAGCUGAAUUCAUACAGUUAACUCAGCUAGUUGACUUCAGUGUUAAUGUAGUUGAUGGGUCAGUUACAGUUAACUAACCUGUUUGUAGGUUAAUGAAGCUGCAGUGACAGAGGCAGAUCAAUGAGCUACAGCAGAAGUUCAGUAAAGUGGUAACUAAGUUACCUUGAUGAGUUGAAUCAGUUGAAUCACUGUAGAAACACAGUAGAAAAUAAUAGAAACUGUUGUUAAAUGGAGCGUUCUCAUGUCCUGAUAUAAGUUCAGUUGAAUUUAACUUUGUUCUGAUUGGCUGUUUCACCUGUAGACUGGAGAGUGGUUUAACACCGUAGAGCCUCUCAGCUCCACUCAUGGAUCUAAGGUUAUAGUGUGUAACCUUCAUACUGUUUCAGCCCGCUUGAAUCAUUCCGGGACCAAAUAUUGAUGAAGGACACACAUCUUCAUGACAUCAGGAGGUCUGAUGGAGGUCAGAGCUGCAUAAAACUGAAUAACCGAACUGUUACAAGAAAACAACAGAACAAAACAAAAUGAUGUUCUGAUCUGAAGAAACAAAGCAUGAAGGUUGAGAGAAGUCUGAAAAAGGUUUAAUAACUGAUUAAAUAAAUAAACCUGCUGCAGUUUGGUGUUACUCUGCAGAGUUUAGAUGUGAUCCAGUCUCUAUACACGAUUAUAAUGUGGUGAUAUUUCACAGUAAAGUACACAGUAACGUCCUUCAUAGACCCGACUAAAUAAUUGAGGAUAAUUUCACAAAACAAAUAUAUUACAUACAUACAACAUAAUAUUAUGUUAUAUUAUUUAUUAUUAUUAUUAUUAUUAUUAUAUGAAUUUAUGCAUUCUUCAUUUUACUCUGCUGCUAGACCUAAUCAGGACAUUUGAUUAUGAAAUGACUAUCUGAUCAAAUGAAAUGGAAAUCUGAAAAUAGAAAGGAAAUUAAAUGAAGUACGGUAACAAUAUAUUACGGUGCACAUAUUUACCAUUAACUACUUGCUUAUUAGUAUGCAUAUUAGUAGCAUGUUGGCUCUUUAUUAGUCAUUAUAACGCGCUUAUUAAUGUCUUAUUCUGAAUGACCAUAUUCUACAACUACUAGGCCAUUAACUAAGAGUUUUCCUCCAAUAACCUCCUAAUUACUGCUUAUUGAUAGUAAGUAAGGAAGAUGUACAUGAAUUACGAUCUUAAUAUGCUUUGCUCAGUAUGGGCCUUAUAAGGUGGUAGAACCACAAGAAUAGUCAUUCUCCCUUAAUAACACUUAAUAAAUAUGGUCUAUUCUUAUGUAACACAUCAUAAAACUACAAGUGUUAAUAGUGUCCAAAUAACUCUAAAUUAAGUCUUUCUAACUCAGAAUAUGUUCCCCAUUCUAAUGAGUAGUUUGACACUUAUUAACCCCCACAGGUUCCCUAUUCCUCUUCACACUUAGUAAAUCCAUUAUUCUCUGCUUGCAUAAUGUAGUGUAAUGUACGAACUACAUGUCUGUUUACUUCCUGUCAACUCGAAUGUUACCUUCGCCUCCAACCUUGGUGAUUACCUUACAGUGUUUGGAAAAGCUGCCAAAAAUGAAAGUGACUGACUUGCACCGUCUUACAAAAGCGAGCACCUUUUCCAAGUACCAAGUGUAAAAAACUGCUAAAAAAAGCUGUGAAAAUCAGGCUAACGUUGGUGCUACACUGAGUGACUGGCUAACGUUGCUAAUGGUUAUCUAAGACUCUGAGGUGAUUAUGAAAAUGAUAAAAAAACACUAUAUACAAAAAUGAUCAGUAAAUACUAUUAAUACUAUUAGUACUAAUGACUAUUCUUGUGGUACUACCACCUUAUAAGGCCCAUACUGAGUAAAGUAUAUUAAGAUUAAUAUAAUUCAUGUACAACAACUUCCCUACUUACUAUCAUUAAGCAGUAAUUAGGAGGUUAUUGAGGGAAACACUUAGUUAAUGGCCUGGUAGUUGUAGAAUAUGGUCAUGCAGAAUAAGGCAACAAUAAGUGCUAUAUAAUGAGCCAACAUGCUACUAAUAUGCAUGCUAAUAAGCAACGAGUUAAUGGUGAAUAUGUGCACGCUGAGUACAUAAAUGGAAAUGUUCAAAUAAAUAGUUCAAUUGUAAACAAUGACUUAAUAUUUAGUAGUCUGGUUACUUUUCAAAUCAUAUUGAUGUUUUCUUUUCCCUUUACAGUUAAAACUUUCCUUUUAAGAUUUCAUGGCAUGCCAGGAGUUUGAGUUUCAAUUUAAUUUUGUGACCAAUUUGUCAUUUCAACAUCAAAUUCCCUUUGUUUGUAUUUUUCACUUUUAACUAUGAUAAUCUUUGGUGAUAGAGUCAAAAGAACAUGAUUUAUACACCGUUUAAAAUGUUUUCUCUGUGUAAAUGAUCUUCUGUUGGUCCUGCAGCGUCCUCAGUGUUUAACUGAAGCAGGUUCAGAACAGAAUCAACACAAUGAAUCCUUCAUUUUUUAAAAACUGGAUCCUGCUGUUGUACUUUUAUUAUUCCAGAUGAUAUUUUUCUAUCUCUGCUGUGAGUCUGAACUCAGUGAUCAUCUGAAGAGUUGGUAGUAUGAGUUCAGUUCAAUUUUAUCUACAUAACCAAAUCACAAUUUGCCUCAAGAGGGUGUUGAUGUGAUUACAGAUUAAAAAUGGUGGAAAACGA